UAAAAGGAGCAUGAUAUCUUCUUUAACUAACUUUGAAAUUUUCAAUUCAGUUUCUUAUUCGCCGUUAAAAGGGCCAGACACAUAUCAAAAUGGGAUCGCUCAUACUCACCGCCAUCUUGAUCACUUUUGGGAUUCGAAUGGUCUUCUUCGGAAUUUGUCAACUCCACAAGAGCGGGCAAAGUUUUCUCAGCUUUUCAGAUCGUGACAUUUCCGAACAUCGCCUGUGUUGGAUCCGGGGCAAGAAAUGGAACGUGCUUCACCUCCGAUGAAUGUACUACGAAAGGCGGAACACCGAGCGGACUUGCGCC
Tigriopus californicus is the source of this 308-nucleotide long non-coding RNA. RefSeq lists it as uncharacterized. Lineage: Eukaryota; Metazoa; Arthropoda; Copepoda; Harpacticoida; Harpacticidae. The record is from RefSeq and is a predicted model, not a curated record. The transcript is spliced from 5 exons.